GAUGAACGCUGGCGGCGUGCCUAAUACAUGCAAGUCGAGCGAACAGAUGAGGAGCUUGCUCCUCUGACGUUAGCGGCGGACGGGGGAGUAACACGUGGAGAACCUACCUAUAAGACUGGGAUAACUUCGGGAAACCGGAGCUAAUACCGGAUAAUAUAUUGAACCGCAUGGUUCAGUAGUGAAAGACGGUUUUGCUGUCACUUAUAGAUGGAUCCGCGCCGCAUUAGCUAGUUGGUAAGGUAACGGGUUACCAAGGCAAAGAUGCGUAGCCGACCUGAGAGGGUGGUCGAGCACACUGGAAGUGAGACACGGUCCAGACUCCUACGGGAGGCAGCAGCAGAGAAUCUUCCGCAAUGGGCGAAAGCGUGACGGAGCAAAGCCGCGUGAGUGAUGAAGGUGUUCGGAUCGUAAAACUCUGUUAGUAGGGAAGAACAAAUGUGUAAGUAACUAUGCACGUAUUGACGGUACCUAAUCAGAAAGCCACGGCUAACUACGUG
RNAcentral lists this ribosomal RNA (497 nucleotides) under uncultured bacterium. RNAcentral describes it as "partial 16S ribosomal RNA". It matches the Rfam family "Bacterial small subunit ribosomal RNA", at positions 28 to 507 of the family's 1533-position model. The record is from RNAcentral.